UCCCUUACCCUGACCCUAACCUUCCAACCGUUGAUUCCUGCAGCAAUCUUCCCUAAGGGAGACACCCCGGCUGUAGGCUCACUUCCUCUCCCAAGUCCCAUUCCUUUCACAAGAGUCAAAUCCCUACAGUGGAUUCCUGGACCGUUUUUUCUAAAAGAAGAUCCCAGUCCUCUGGCUUGCCCCUCCCGUCGUGACUCCCAUAUUUGAUGGGUCUGAAUGAAAAUCUGAUGAAACAGAUGUUACUUGAAGCUGAGUGACUUUCUCAGGGUCAAGCAAAUAAGUAAAUGGAGGAGCCAGAAUUAUACCCCAGGAUCCCCAUCACAAGGAGGGGAGGGCUACCAUCCCAGCUGCAAACUCUCAUUCAAGGUUUAUGCUGCAGCCAGCAGUGUCCUUGGAGUCUAGUUCAAAGCUGAAGAGAGUGAACCAUGGAACUGGGAGCCAUUGGCGGAGAGGCUGGCCUGAAGGAAGGGAAGUGUUUCAGCCAGAAUGUACUGACGCACAACCAGGAAACCACAAGACUGGUGAGAACCUUUCCAAAACUGAGCUUUAUGAUCAAAAGAGGUACAGGAAACAGCUCUGCCAAGAGUCCUUUCUGCUCCUGGCUGGAACCCUGAGCUUCUGAGGCUCUCUGAGUCAACUCUCUGAACAGAUGCUGUCACCCAAGGAACCAUCACUAAAGCAUUUUUUUGCUUUGCUCUGAGGUGGCCUCACUGGUGGGUGCAAGUGAGUUACUGUCUCUUUUUCUCUUUCUUGUUUCUUUCUUUUGACAGAAGUUGCCAUGUGAUUACUCAAUUCUGAAUUUUAGAGGCCAUAGGUUACUGCAUUUAUGCCCUUUGCCAACUGACUAUUGUUUGGUGCUGGGCCUGCAUACAAACACGACAUCCCCAAACUCUUAUCAAUACCUAGAUCACCUGAUGUGAAUCUAUCAAUACCCUGGACUUAACAGGGUAUUGAAGGAAAGAGAACCGGCAAUUCCUUCAUUUCUUACAUCCCAGCCAGUAGUCCUUCUCCCAGGCUAGUCUUCCUUUUGUUUCCCCUAAGAAUGACUCAACUAGGAAUUGCAUUCUGAUCCCUGUCACAGAUAUAAAUCUUGUCUGGAUACAAGGUCAAAAUAAUUGUGUUCCUGUGGAUUCUUUUUCUUUUUUCAACCAGAGUAACUACCAGUUGCCAUGAAAUAAAUCACAUCAUCAUAUGGCAGAUCCAGCUAAUAGCUGAGACUGGCAGGAUAACUGAACCGUGUACUCAGAGCUAAAUGAUGGAGAAAUUGGACUGGCCAUGGAGCACUUCAAAUUGAUUGCUUAGUAAUGGGAUAUUUUUCCUGGAAAGACAACAGAAUACUUCUGAAUUGUUGGUUCUGUCAUGGGUACAGGCUCCCAUGUACAGGAAAAUAAAGAAAGUGUGAUGAAUUUUUCAUCUGGCCUUCUGCCUACUUUCUUGCUUUCUGCAUGUCUCCAUUUUUAGUCUGUAAGCCCUGCCUAGAUGACCAAUCACUAUUGCCCAUGUGGCAUAAAACCUACAAUUUAACUAUACUUCUUACCAAACUCUCAGCAAGUAUGAGGUAGCCAACAGCCUUUUCAAGAUAAUGACUGAGUCUUAGCUUAGGUUUCAGUCAUUUUAGGAAACAUAAAAAAUUCAAUGGUGGGAGAUCAUACACACUCUGCAAAGAUGUCAGAAGUCAAGUUUUGGGAGAGUCCACACACAAACUGAGCAGUGAUGGUAAAAUAUAUUUUUGAAAUAUUUCUCCUCUGUGACUGUUAUGUGAAGUAGAGCAAACACAUUGUGCUGCAGUGCUCUUUGGGACAUGCCUUUUUUGGGAAGUGCUAACUUUAUACUCUGCUGACACCAAACAUUUGAAUAUAAAACCUUAUUUUUUUCUCUCACUCUGCUCCACUUUUGGCUCAGCUUAUUCUACCAAAACACACUUCAAAAGACUUCUUUAUAGAAAGAAUGUUUCAAAAAUAUAAUAUUUCCAUCUGUUAUUUCAAUAAUACAUGCUCUGGGACUCUCUUUAUGAACCACUUUCCUUUCUUUGCUCCCAUUUAGAUGUAUAAAUAUUUGAUUGUAAAGCUCUAAGGAAUAGUCAGCCAAUCGGGUCACUGAAUUGUGAACAUUCCUAACCCUAUAAUUUUGUCUGUAGCAGGCACCUCCUGCUGUGGAACUAACUGCUAAGGGAUUAUAGCAAUGUAAUCCUCAGACUGUUCCAUCUCAAGGUUACUCUGAAGUGGAGGGAAGGAAGCCGUUUUAAUUUUGAUAAAAUAAACUUUAUUUUGUAACUUU
Molecule: long non-coding RNA, 2277 nt
Filed under: Homo sapiens (human)
Lineage: Eukaryota; Metazoa; Chordata; Mammalia; Primates; Hominidae
Description: PREDICTED lncRNA (TCONS_00021912)
Source: RNAcentral